Non-coding RNA from Prunus avium (sweet cherry), 303 nucleotides. The record is from RefSeq and is a predicted model, not a curated record. Lineage: Eukaryota; Viridiplantae; Streptophyta; Magnoliopsida; Rosales; Rosaceae.
AUUGGGUGGCUCUAAUGAUUGAUCUGGUUAAGUGUGAAAUCAAAGUGUACGAUUCAAUGGUUUCACUUAUUCCAGAUGAGAUGUUAAAGGAAGAACUCGCCCCGCUUUCAAUUACGAUUCCAAAUCUUCUCAACUCCAUCGACUUUUAUGAAGAAGGUGUUUACGCAAACGACUGCAGCAGAGAUUGGUGGUGUCCAUGGCCAAUAGAACGUGUGGAUGUUCCACAACAAUCUAAUCAAGGCGAUUGUGGCAUGUUUGUGUUGAAGUACAUUGAGCUUUUGAGCGCUGAGAUUCCGUUAGCUA